AUUGAACGCUGGCGGCAUGCUUUACACAUGCCAGUCGAACGGUAACAGGCCUUCUGGUGCUGACGAGUGGCGCACGGGUGCGUAAUGCAUCGGAACGUACCCAGAGGUGGGGGAUAACGCAGCGAAAGCUGUGCUAAUACCGCAUGUGAUCUGAGGAUGAAAGCGGGGGACCGAGCAGCAAUGUUUGGCCUCGCGCCUUUGUACCGGCCGAUGUCGGAUUAGCUAGUUGGUGGGGUAAAGGCCUACCAAGGCGACGAUCCGUAGCUGGUCUGAGAGGACGACCAGCCAAACUGGAACUGAGACACGGCCCAGAGUCCUACGGGAGGCAGCAGUGGGGAAUGUUGGACAAUGGGCGCAAGCCUGAUCCAGCAAGGCCGCGUGCGGGAAGAAGGCCUUCGGGUUGUAAACCGCUUUUGGCAGGAACGAAACGGUGUCCGCUAAUACCGGGCGCUAAUGACGGUACCUGCAGAAUAAGCACCGGCUAACUACGUG
This 492-nucleotide ribosomal RNA is filed under the name uncultured bacterium. RNAcentral's name for it is "partial 16S ribosomal RNA". It matches the Rfam family "Bacterial small subunit ribosomal RNA", at positions 29 to 507 of the family's 1533-position model. The record is from RNAcentral.